UAAGUUUAAGUUUGCUAGCUGGAGGGUUUCAUCCAAUUCCUUGAAUUCGGCCAUUUUUCUCUGCCAUGCAGCUGGGGAUGGGAUUCCUUCUUUCCCUAAUCUGACGGCAGCGUCGUAUAUCCGUUCAUGAUCCCGUGUAGUGUCUCCCAUCACUACACUGACGGGAACGGAUCCGAGAAGGGGAGGAUCUGCUUCUAGCUGCUUUUUCUGCCCCAGUUCCCGGCAGCUAUUGGCAACUUCACCGCACUCCGCCUCAGCUGUUUCUUUGAACUUUGCAGUUUCUGCUUCCGAGUAAAGGCCUUCCCUAUCUUCUGGAUCCAGGACCAUGUCUUGAUAGAGCCCGUGGUGUUUUCUUGAUCACCCUCGACAAAUACCAGCCCCACAAUAUCGUGAAGUUCGCCCUUGAACUGUUUCAAAUGAAGAAAUUCCCGCGCAAUAAUACCGCCGUAUGCAUGACAAACAAUGAUGUACGGUGGUUUGAUAUCAGCCGCGCCCAGCAGGACGUCAAGCUCGAGAGAAAUGUUUUCAGCGGUUGGAGCAGUGGGGUUUGGCAUUUCUUCUGAGUCACCG
This 570-nucleotide small RNA is filed under the name Histoplasma ohiense. RNAcentral's name for it is "hypothetical lncRNA". The record is from RNAcentral. Lineage: Eukaryota; Fungi; Ascomycota; Eurotiomycetes; Onygenales; Ajellomycetaceae.